AGCUUUUUGUAAUAAUAAAAAGUACUUCCUGCUCCAUGAAAACUUUAAUAGCCGCAGAAUUUUACUGUGCUAAGGUAGCAUAAUCACUUGUCUUUUAAUUCAAGAAUUGAAUGAAUGGAAAAACGAAUUCUAAUCUGUUUUAUUUAUUUUCAAUAAAACUAUAUAAAAGUAAAAACCCUUUUUAACAAAUAAAAAGACGACAAGACCCUACUGAACUUUACUAAAGUUAAGCUGGGGCGGCUAUUUAAAAAAAUCUUACUUUAUUUAUAAAAUACCUAAUUAUAACAUAGCAGUUACCAUAGGGAUAACAGCAUAAUUUAGUUUAACAGUUCUUAUUUACAACUAAGAUUAUGACCUCGAUGUUGAAUUAAAAUUCUCUUAAACGUAAAAAAUUAACAAGAAAGUCUGUUCGACUUAUAACUAUUUACA
This 429-nucleotide ribosomal RNA is filed under the name Dysderocrates silvestris. RNAcentral's name for it is "partial 16S ribosomal RNA". It matches the Rfam family "Bacterial large subunit ribosomal RNA", at positions 1817 to 2600 of the family's 2925-position model. The record is from RNAcentral. Lineage: Eukaryota; Metazoa; Arthropoda; Arachnida; Araneae; Dysderidae.